Molecule: ribosomal RNA, 383 nt
Filed under: Escherichia coli
Lineage: Bacteria; Pseudomonadati; Pseudomonadota; Gammaproteobacteria; Enterobacterales; Enterobacteriaceae
Description: bacterial SSU rRNA
Rfam family: Bacterial small subunit ribosomal RNA
Source: RNAcentral
CUGAGAGGAUGACCAGCCACACUGGAACUGAGACACGGUCCAGACUCCUACGGGAGGCAGCAGUGGGGAAUAUUGCACAAUGGGCGCAAGCCUGAUGCAGCCAUGCCGCGUGUAUGAAGAAGGCCUUCGGGUUGUAAAGUACUUUCAGCGGGGAGGAAGGGAGUAAAGUUAAUACCUUUGCUCAUUGACGUUACCCGCAGAAGAAGCACCGGCUAACUCCGUGCCAGCAGCCGCGGUAAUACGGAGGGUGCAAGCGUUAAUCGGAAUUACUGGGCGUAAAGCGCACGCAGGCGGUUUGUUAAGUCAGAUGUGAAAUCCCCGGGCUCAACCUGGGAACUGCAUCUGAUACUGGCAAGCUUGAGUCUCGUAGAGGGGGGUAGAAU